ACAGGAGAGGUGACUGGCCCAAGGUCACCUGAUGAGUUUUCUGGGCUUGAAAGGAGAUCUAAAGCUGCUGGUUACACAGUCACUACUUUCUGAUGCCUCCAUCAAUAAAAUGCCUGCCACACAGUUGCUCCAGAAUGAGACCAGGAGGGGACCCAUCCUGUGGUUAAUGUGACUGUGAUCUAAUCAUUUGGCCACUCCCACCUCCACCUCCUUCCCCAAUCCAGAGCUCAAGGUCAGUCACUCAACUCUGCCUUGCCUCUCAGAGUAUGGCUGGCUGUCUCCAGCCCACUUGUCAUUCUUCUGAAAAUACCCAUGGAACCUCGUCCAGUCUCCCCUGAACGGCCCUCCCACUUGCUCCUCUGCGUGUCUUCUGGUAGACAAGCCACAAGCCCAGAGGGGCAAUUAGGGAUUAGGGGUGACAGCAGUUUGGUAUUAUUUUAGCUAAUUGCUGUCCUGUGUGUAAGAGUGCAGCAUCUCCAACAGCUGGCCUGAGGAAUCGUCCCUGUAGAAGCAGUCCCGCCUUCUGUGGGAUAGAGUCGGGUCUAUUAGAUGGGGCAGGGGCUGUGAGAAGCUGCCGCGUGCACCCCAUUGGUUGUAAAGGUUAAAUGGGCAGAGCCAUCGGGUUCUCCCCACGGUGGCUGUUCACAGUGUGUGUGUUUGAUUUAGUUUCACCAUUCUCCUUUUGACUCCCCGCGUUCCCCUGACCCUGACACACAGCACCCUGUGCUCAAAUCCGUUAUUAUCUGCCUUCGAUGGCACGUGGGCCACGAAGCCUUCUUUUCCUCUGUACUAGUUUUGGAGGUGCGGGAGGGGUACUGUGAUUGAUUUGUAUAUGGCUAUCAGAGCAGGAUGCCAAAGAUUAGUCCUUGGCUGACUGAGACUCUGAGCUCUAGAACACGCUGCAAGGUCUCAGUGGACUUCUGAGCAUGCCAACUCGGAUUUUCAUUUAUGGUGGUGUGACAUGGAUCCCUGAGCUGACUAUCUGAGCUAAGGUCGGGGCAUCGCUGGACAGGGGCAGCACGGGGAAUUGAAUGCCCAUAUAUAUCCACUCUUGGAGCUCUUUGGAAUUGAGGGAUUGGGUAGUUUUUCUUUCUUUCUUCCUCCCUCUUUCCCUCCCUCUCUCUCUCUUUCUUCUUUCUUUCCCCUUCCUUCCUUCCUUCCUUCCUUCCUUCCUUCCUUCCUUCCUUCCUUCUUUCUCUGUCUCUCUCUCUCACAUUGCUAAGCACAAACAGAGAAGGAAAAUGUCAAUUCACAUUCUUGCUUUUUUCUAAAGGAAAACCUCCCCCUUCCCGCCCUGGCCUGUUCCCAAGGGCUCACUUUCCGAGUCUGCUCAUCAGUGAGUCUGUACAAACAGCUCGGAGCAGGAAGGCUGCGGGCUCCUCACCUUCUGUGUCCCUGUCUCCUCCCCGCUCACCCCAGCUCUGAGUUCUGCCUCUGCUCUCAUGAAGGGUGUGUUGAUGGAGGGUGCAGCUCACUGGGUCACACAGGGAAGCUACAGGGGGUGUCCAAGUUCACAUGUCGCACAUUCCAGGAGAAUGUUUCUGACAUUGAGCAAUGGUACGGCUCUGCCAGGUUGAGGUCUGUCCGAUUGGAAUGCAACUCAAAAGGAAAGUCCCGGAGUGAUAGUGAUUCAAAUACUCACCUCCCCAGAUCCCCGUCUUGGUUUUUAAUUCCUUUUUAAUUCUCCAAUGACACACUCAGCCCAGCUCUCUUGCUGACCGCAUGGUACUUGGUGGUGCUGAUAAGUACAACUUCCCAAGAGAUAGGAAUGCAAAUCGUCACAUUGUGUUGAGUCAUGUGUACUCUGCAGCUCUUUCCCAAACAUUGCAUCAGACCGUAAUUGGCAGCUCCCAGGACUCCUCUGCUGGAGUGACACUGCAUGCCCAGGAAAAACUCAGUCCAUUUCUUUAAAAAAUUAUAUUUUGACCCUCUUCCUCUGCCUGGUUGUAAUAUCCUGUUCUUAAGGAAAUGGAACCCCUGGGGGAGCAAAGGCAAAACUGGUUUUGCAGAUAAGUUGGAAAAUUAUGGCUAUUGCCCUUCCCCACCCACUCUGGUCUCUUAGCAACAAGACAGCUGGUGGUAUCCACCAGAAAGAAAGAGCCCAGAGCUUGCAGAGGAGCCAGUCUGAAUUCUUGCCUGCAGCCUGAUUUAUUUAAACCUCUGCUGCAUUCCUGGGCGUAGAGACCCAGGAGUCCAGUCAAGGGAGCAUCCCCUGCCCUUCGUGUGACCUCUGUAAGUGAGCAGACAGAGGGAGAUCUCAGAGUGAGGGGGACGGUCCUCUACAAAAAUCUGCCUGGUGUGGGAAGCCAGUUUCCUUUGACUUUGGGGGAAUCCAUGUGCAAAUUUGGGCUUGUUUAUAGAGCGAGGUGACCUGGGGUGGAGCCAGGAAGGAGCACAGAGCUGGGGUCUGGAAACCAGGUCUGAUGGCAACAGCCUCUCCCUCCCUGUGCCCUCCCCACCCAGUGGUGAUUUUCUCAGCUGCAAAGUACAGUUAUUGAAUUAGAUGUUCUGGGUUGGGGGUGCUGGGACGUGUAUUUUUUUAUAGUCUUUCUAUUAUAUGAAUAUCCAUCUGAUUCCCUCCCCCAUAGUUAUUAUGUGCUGGAGCAAGAAUUCAAACACAGAUCUGAAACUCACUUUCCCUGUCCCUACCGGAUGCUGUUUUGAUACACACACACAGGCACCCCACAGCUGGAACGUUGUACCAGGCCAUUCUCAUAUCUUCAUCUAUUAAUCCAUGAGACUAGAACUGAGGGGUGUAGAGGAUUUGCGUGGCAGUGGAGACACUUGAGUUCACAUUCUUGCUUGCUCUGCCUCUGAGCAGCUAGUGGACUCAGUGUCCUCCACCAUGAGACGGGAAUAACAGAACCUGACGGCUCAGCUGCUGCCAGGGGGACUAGGUGAGAAGAUGUAUAGAAAACACCUAGCAUGGUGCCUGCUACAUAGUAAGUGCUCAAUAAAAGGGGAGAACAAUGACAGAGCGAGACUGAGGUGUUGGCUGUAGGUUCCUUGAUGGUAAAGACUUGCCCCAAUUGUCCUGUAACUUCACUACAUUUUGUGGCACACAGAAGAUAACUGUUUGCUGAGCUUAACAAAUGUACCUUCCUAAUACACACACACACACACACAUACACACACACACCACACACACACACAUAAGAUUGAUGAAUUUUAUGACUUCAUCUUGCUGGGACUUUUCAUAGGGCUCUGCAUUUUAGAGUAACUCAUCACAGCUAAGAUACUAUGUGGUUGGCUGUUUUGUGUCCAACUUAAUAAUCUUCAAGCAUUUUUAAGAAUCCAAAGUCUUGUUUCUCAAAACAUUGUUUUGGCCAGAUAUUAUUCAGGCAUUUCUCUCUGUUUCUCUGCAGCUCCCCCUUCAUCUGGCACUUAAAACACUAAAGAAGUGUGAGCAGGGCUUGUAUUACUGGCACCAUACUAAGUCCAUUAUAUAUUACCUUAUUUAAUGCUGUUAAUGACCCUGCAGGGUGGGUAUCACCUCAAUUUCAGAAGAGGUAAUUAUUGGCAGAGGUAAUUAUUCAGACAGAUAAACUAGGAAAGCCAGGCAACUCAAAUUAUAAUUGGCACAACUAGGGUUUAAGCUUAGGUCAUGUGACUCCAGAGUAAACUCUGACAAGUUUAAGCUACUGGCUUGAUCAGUGUCCCUGAACUCACAUGGUGUCCAUUGUCCUGGGGAGCACUACUGUAGCCUGUCCAAAACUUGACUCCUGCUCUGCAUGAUCAUGCCUGUCACCACCCCCUCUUUGUCCCUGAGAACAAGUGAUGGAAACUGAGGACACAGAAGCUACAGAAUCAUAAGCCAAGAGGAUUUAAAAGUUGGAAGACUUCUUCAAGAGGUCAUCUCGUCUGAUGGGUUCUAUUGGUGGUGGGGAGGGGACACGGCUUGCCUAGUGGCUUGUAAAAUCAAUUUAAUAGUUCAUAACAAACAUUUCCAAAAUGAAACGGAUGGGAUAGAGGACAUCAGAGGUAAUGCACUUGGGGUGAAGUAGUGUUGAGAGGCAGCAGUCAGGUGUCCACUGUGCGGGUAUUUGGGUUACAGCAUAAAGUGCAUUUCUUAUUGGAGAGUUGUUUGUUGAAGCUUGAAAAUGCCAGUUUCAGGCAGCGAUUUUCAAAGUUUAUUCCAUGGCAGAGGAGGCCUCCCAUACGUUAGGAGAGGAUGGGAGAGGACAAGGAGAGUAGGAGAAACCUCAGGAAUGUCCCCUGUUCCCACUAAAUUAGUCCCGUGUUUAUCCUCCUUUCAUGCUGAGUUUUCAUAUAAUAGUUCAUCUUUUAAAAAGAAACUUUAUAAAACAAAACAACAACUAACCAAACAAAAAUAAAAACAAACAAACUAAAAAAUUGAAGAGCCGCCAACUUACCCCAUCGGAGUUGUGUCGUACUGGGUAUUGAUUCAUUCCUGUGUGGCUUUCUCUGCUAAUAAAGGAGUAUGUUUGGCACUGUCAUGGUGGCAAUAAAAAAUGCAGGAAGGUUAAAAAAAUGUGAUUAUUUCUGUCUUUAAACUCUUUGGAUCAAUGAGAUAUCAAGUAGCAAGAUAUUAUAUGGAAAUGCAUAAUGAUGUUCAGAAUUUGGCAGCCCCUUUAAAAACAGAUACAAAGAUUUCUGCAAGAAGGUUGUAGAGGAAAACAUACUGGAGGUGGCAGUGGAGUUGAAAUUCAGUAUAAAGGGUUCUACUGGGGUUCAGCUCAGUAACAUAAACGUGUGUGUAAUAUGAAUUUUCUUGACAACAUUUCAUGACCCAAAGUCUAAGGUUGUUCAUUAACUUGCCUGUGAGUCAACCGUGUGGCAUGGGCCAAAACCCAAGGCAAGCACACUACAUUCAAUUUGUUCAUGGAAACCUGAUAAAAAGUCCCCCUGUGUGUGUGUGGUGGGGGGGUUCAGGGGGACUGCAAAAAUGAUCAAUGUACUUUGUAGCUUCUUCCAUAUGAGGUGGAGUCUGUUUUCCUAAUUCUUCUUUUUUACUUUGGCCCCAUGACUUGCUUUGGCUUUAGAAUGUGGCAGAAGUGAUGUGUCAUCUGAGCACCUCUCCAUUCUUGAACUCGUGGAACCCUGUUAUGGAUACGUGAUUCAGUCUGGCUGAGCCUCCUGGAGGAAGACCAUGAUGAGAGACCCCUCCUGUCCCUGCCUUGGCCUUUCUGGACCAAGUACCGCAGCAGACCUUUCAGCUGAUUUUAGAUGUAGGAGUUAGCCCAGCUGAGAUCAGCCAAGCUCAACCCAGACCAGAAUGACCUCCCUGACCUUUAGAAUUGUGAGCUAACUUUUGGAAUCCUAACAAACUCACCCAAAGUCCUGGCAAAUCCCCUCUGGGAGACAGUAUCAUGACUACAUCAGAUGGCCAGAAAUAUUAACUAGAAAUGUUCGUAAUCAUUAGCUAGAAAUGUUCACAAACUACAGUGUGCUCAGGUCAGGGUAGGGAGAAAGGCUUUGAGGACCUGCUGGAUGAAAAGUAAAGGACUUUAGCAGGAACAUGAGUUCUGCCUCCAGAGAGUUCUACAUCAGAGAAAUGGGACAAAGAAUUUGUAGCUUCUGUGGUGGAUUAAAUAAUUGGC
RNAcentral lists this long non-coding RNA (5561 nucleotides) under Marmota monax (woodchuck). Lineage: Eukaryota; Metazoa; Chordata; Mammalia; Rodentia; Sciuridae. The record is from RNAcentral.